AGAGUUUGAUCCUGGCUCAGGACGAACGCUGGCGGCGUGCCUAAUACAUGCAAGUCGAGCGGACUUAUGCCUUCGGGGAUGAGUUAGCGGCGGACGGGUGAGUAACACGUAGGCAACCUGCCUGGAGGAUCGGGAUAACUAUCGGAAACGAUAGCUAAGACCGAAUAAUUGGCACCUUCGCAUGAAGGUGCCAGGAAACGCGGAGCAAUCUGUGGCCUCUGGAUGGGCCUGCGGCGCAUUAGCUAGUAGGUGAGGUAACGGCUCACCUAGGCGACGAUGCGUAGCCGACCUGAGAGGGUGACCGGCCACACUGGGACUGAGACACGGCCCAGACUCCUACGGGAGGCAGCAGUAGGGAAUCUUCCGCAAUGGACGCAAGUCUGACGGAGCAACGCCGCGUGAGUGAUGAAGGUUUUCGGAUCGUAAAGCUCUGUUGCCCUAGACGAACGAGGUAGAGAGUAACUGCUCUGCCUGUGACGGUAUAGGAGAAGAAAGCCCCGGCUAACUACGUGCCAGCAGCCGCGGUAAUACGUAGGGGGCAAGCGUUGUCCGGAAUUAUUGGGCGUAAAGCGCGCGCAGGCGGUUCAGUAAGUUGGAUGUUUAAAGCCGGGGCUCAACCCCGGUGCGCAUCCAAAACUGGUGGACUUGAGUGUAGGAGAGGAAAGUGGAAUUCCACGUGUAGCAGUGAAAUGCGUAGAGAUGUGGAGGAACACCAGUGGCGAAGGCGACUUUCUGGCCUAUAACUGACGCUGA
This 753-nucleotide ribosomal RNA is filed under the name uncultured bacterium. RNAcentral's name for it is "bacterial SSU rRNA". It matches the Rfam family "Bacterial small subunit ribosomal RNA", at positions 8 to 749 of the family's 1533-position model. The record is from RNAcentral.